UAAAAGCGAGGAGUUUGGAGAGAUUAGGACGGUAGGGAUAGGUGGUGAACCUUGGUUCGUGGGGAAAGAUGUGGCAGAGGUGUUGGGAUAUGCCGAAACUGCCAACAUAAGAAAACUUUUAGACGAGGCGGAUUACAAAGAAAUAGACCCACAAAAUGGCUUAUUUACUGGGUUCGUCCAAAACGGAGUAACCCUUGAAGAAAGCAGGCAGGAUGAACCAAACAUCACUUCAAACUUAAACCAAGAAGUUGUUAAGGGGAAGAAUCAACAAGGGAGAGGACACAGCACUUCAAUCUU
Molecule: non-coding RNA, 297 nt
Filed under: unclassified sequences
Source: Rfam by way of RNAcentral